GCUGGGAUUGUGACUCAGGGGUAGAGCACUCACCUAGCACGGGCAAGGCCCUGGGUUUGAUUCUCAGCACAGCA
This 74-nucleotide transfer RNA is filed under the name Marmota monax (woodchuck). Its description in RNAcentral is "tRNA.Ala". The record is from RNAcentral. Lineage: Eukaryota; Metazoa; Chordata; Mammalia; Rodentia; Sciuridae.